This is a non-coding RNA of Pelobates cultripes (western spadefoot toad), 675 nucleotides long. NCBI's taxonomy places the organism in Eukaryota, Metazoa, Chordata, Amphibia, Anura, Pelobatidae. The record is from the annotation of a GenBank genome assembly.
GGUGUCUGUACUUUGAAUGGAGAGAGCGAGGUCUUUGUACAUGUAGGUAGAGAACGAGAGCUCUUUGUGUAAAAAGGACAACUCGUCAUAUUCAUACCUUUUAAUUCCGCAGAUGAGUGGGAGCACCUCGUGGGCAGGACUCGGAAGACAGAGGAGAGUAUAAUAAUUGCAUUGUAAAUAAUCUAUCUAAUAAGGGUGCGGUCACUAGCAUAUGUUUGUCUACUGGACACACAUCCAGAUAUUUAUUGAAACUGUCUACAUAUUUACAGGCUUAAUGUUUACUUGCAAGGUAAGUUUUCACAACUUGGGUGUUGAGGCACAGCUCACCCAAGUACUACUGUAGCCUACUAAACUGGGUGAGUCUACAUUCUCAUAAAUGAAAAUAUUGUCUGACUAUUUGGAUGGGGCAGUAAAUAUAGGUGAUAUGGUAGAAAUAGACUGCAGUUGAAAUGCAAGUGGGAGGUGGGUCAACUUGACUGGUUUACAGUGGAUUUUGGGAGGUGAUGAGAGCUGCAUUAUAUUAGAUAUUAGAUAACAGAAAACAUUUAUUGGAGAGCAAUAGAGACCACGCAGACAGCUCUGUUACUGUUAAGUUAAAGGCAUUUGAGUUUUCAAUUAAUGUGUAUAACAUAUAAACAGAGCGUGCCCUGCUUCUAUCAUCUAUGGAUUUAUAUA